This 615-nucleotide ribosomal RNA is filed under the name Triticum aestivum (bread wheat). RNAcentral's name for it is "partial small subunit ribosomal RNA". The record is from RNAcentral. Lineage: Eukaryota; Viridiplantae; Streptophyta; Magnoliopsida; Poales; Poaceae.
AUGAUGGCUCAAGAUAAUACUAAAUUGUGUGACUUUGCCUAUACCAACAAUAAUGAUUUUAUUAGCACUCCGAUUGCUCCUCUUACCGAUGAUGUAUAUUGUGAAAUUAAUAUUGCUUUGCUAAAUCUUGUCAUGAAAGAUCUAUUUUCUGGCCUUCCAAGUGAAGAUGCCGCUACCCAUCUAAACAACUUUGUUGAUUUGUGUGAUAUGCAAAAGAAUAAAGAUGUGGAUAAUGAUAUUGUUAAACUUAAGCUAUUUCCGUUGUCGCUUAGAGAUCGUCCUAAAGAUUGGUUUUCGUCUUUGCCUAAAAAUAGUAUUGAUUUAUGGAAUAAGUGCAAAGAUGCUUUUAUCACUAUGUAUUUUCCUCCCUCUAAGAUCAUCUCUCUUAGAAAUGAUAUUAUGAAUUUUAAGCAACUUGAUCAUGAGCAUAUUGCACAAUCUUGGGAGAGGAUGAAAUUAAUGAUACGUAAUUGCCCUACACAUGGUUUGAAUUUAUGGAUGAUUAUACAAAAAAAUUGCCGGAUUGAAUUUUGCUUCGAGAAACCUUUUAGAUUUGUCCACAGGAGGCACCUUUAUGGAAAUUACUUUAGGAGAAGCUACCAAACACCUAGAUAA